RNAcentral lists this ribosomal RNA (445 nucleotides) under uncultured bacterium. RNAcentral describes it as "bacterial SSU rRNA". It matches the Rfam family "Bacterial small subunit ribosomal RNA", at positions 330 to 792 of the family's 1533-position model. The record is from RNAcentral.
UCCAGACUCCUACGGGAGGCAGCAGUGGGGAAUAUUGCACAAUGGGGGAAACCCUGAUGCAGCGACGCCGCGUGAGUGAAGAAGUAUCUCGGUACGUAAAGCUCUAUCAGCAGGGAAGAAAAUGACGGUACCUGACUAAGAAGCCCCGGCUAACUACGUGCCAGCAGCCGCGGUAAUACGUAGGGGGCAAGCGUUAUCCGGAUUUACUGGGUGUAAAGGGAGCGUAGACGGCAAUACAAGUCGGAAGUGAAAUACCCGGGCUCAACCUGGGAACUGCUUUGGAAACUGUAUGGCUGGAGUGCUGGAGAGGUAAGCGGAAUUCCUAGUGUAGCGGUGAAAUGCGUAGAUAUUAGGAGGAACACCAGUGGCGAAGGCGGCUUACUGGACAGUAACUGACGUUGAGGCUCGAAAGCGUGGGGAGCAAACAGGAUUAGAUACCCCGGUA